GAUGAACGCUCGCUACAGGCUUAACACAUGCAAGUCGCAGGGUAACAUGAGGAAAGCUUGCUUUCCUUGAUGACGACUGGCGCACGGGUGAGUAACGCGUAUCCAACCUUCCCAUAACUACGGGAUAACCCGUUGAAAGACGGCCUAAUACCGUAUGAUAUCGUUUGCUGACAUCAAAUAACGAUUAAAGGUUUAGCGGUUAUGGAUGGGGAUGCGUCUGAUUAGCUUGUUGGCGGGGUAACGGCCCACCAAGGCGACGAUCAGUAGGGGUUCUGAGAGGAAGGUCCCCCACAUUGGAACUGAGACACGGUCCAAACUCCUACGGGAGGCAGCAGUGAGGAAUAUUGGUCAAUGGGCGAGAGCCUGAACCAGCCAAGUAGCGUGCAGGACGACGGCCCUAUGGGUUGUAAACUGCUUUUAUGGGGGGAUAAAGUGCGUGACGUGUCAUGCAUUGCAGGUACCACAUGAAUAAGGACCGGCUAAUUCCGUG
RNAcentral lists this ribosomal RNA (490 nucleotides) under uncultured bacterium. Its description in RNAcentral is "partial 16S ribosomal RNA". It matches the Rfam family "Bacterial small subunit ribosomal RNA", at positions 28 to 507 of the family's 1533-position model. The record is from RNAcentral.